CCUACGGGUGGCAGCAGUGAGGAAUAUUGGUCAAUGGACGAAAGUCUGAACCAGCCAAGUCGCGUGAAGGAUGACUGCCCUAUGGGUUGUAAACUUCUUUUAUAUGGGAGUAAAAUGUUCCACGUGUGGGAUUUUGUAUGUACCAUAUGAAUAAGGAUCGGCUAACUCCGUGCCAGCAGCCGCGGUAAUACGGAGGCUUCGAGCGUUAUCCGGAUUUAUUGGGUUUAAAGGGAGCGUAGGUGGAUUGUUAAGUCAGUUGUGAAAGUUUGCGGCUCAACCGUAAAAUUGCAUUUGAUACUGGCAGUCUUGAGUACAGUAGAGGUGGGCGGAAUUCGUGGUGUAGCGGUGAAAUGCUUAGAUAUCACGAAGAACACCGAUUGCGAAGGCAGUUCACUGGACUGCAACUGACGCUGAGGCUCGAAAGUGUGGGGAUCAAACAGGAUUAGAUACCCUUGUAGUC
RNAcentral lists this ribosomal RNA (460 nucleotides) under uncultured bacterium. RNAcentral describes it as "partial 16S ribosomal RNA". It matches the Rfam family "Bacterial small subunit ribosomal RNA", at positions 338 to 795 of the family's 1533-position model. The record is from RNAcentral.